Molecule: ribosomal RNA, 309 nt
Filed under: uncultured bacterium
Lineage: Bacteria
Description: bacterial SSU rRNA
Rfam family: Bacterial small subunit ribosomal RNA
Source: RNAcentral
ACGGUAUCGCAUGAUACAGUGUAGAAAAACUCCGGUGGUAUAAGAUGGACCCGCGUCUGAUUAGCUUGUUGGUGAGGUAACGGCCCACCAAGGCGACGAUCAGUAGCCGGCUUGAGAGAGUGAACGGCCACAUUGGGACUGAGACACGGCCCAAACUCCUACGGGAGGCAGCAGUGGGGAAUAUUGCACAAUGGGGGAAACCCUGAUGCAGCGACGCCGCGUGAGUGAAGAAGUAUUUCGGUAUGUAAAGCUCUAUCAGCAGGGAAGAUAAUGACGGUACCUGACUAAGAAGCCCCGGCUAACUACGUG